GACGAACGCUGGCGGCGUGCCUAUACAUGCAAGUCGAGCGGACGAACUUUUGGUGCUUGCACCAAAUUUUCGUUAGCGGCGGACGGGUGAGUAACACGUGGGUAACCUACCUUAUAGAUUGGGAUAACUCCGGGAAACCGGGGCUAAUACCGAAUAACACUUUUUAACACAUGUUUUAAAGUUGAAAGACGGUCUUGCUGUCACUAUAAGAUGGACCCGCGGCGCAUUAGCUAGUCGGUGAGGUAACGGCUCACCAAGGCAACGAUGCGUAGCCGACCUGAGAGGGUGAUCGGCCACACUGGGACUGAGACACGGCCCAGACUCCUACGGGAGGCAGCAGUAGGGAAUCUUCCACAAUGGACGAAAGUCUGAUGGAGCAACGCCGCGUGAGUGAAGAAGGAUUUCGGUUCGUAAAACUCUGUUGCAAGGGAAGAACAAGUAGCGUAGUAACUGGCGCUACCUUGACGUACCUUGUUAGAAAGCCACGCU
Molecule: ribosomal RNA, 489 nt
Filed under: Bacillaceae bacterium oral taxon D26
Lineage: Bacteria; Bacillati; Bacillota; Bacilli; Caryophanales; Bacillaceae
Description: bacterial SSU rRNA
Rfam family: Bacterial small subunit ribosomal RNA
Source: RNAcentral